Oncorhynchus keta (chum salmon) is the source of this 1298-nucleotide long non-coding RNA. RefSeq lists it as uncharacterized. The record is from RefSeq and is a predicted model, not a curated record. The transcript has 3 exons. NCBI's taxonomy places the organism in Eukaryota, Metazoa, Chordata, Actinopteri, Salmoniformes, Salmonidae.
AAAGAUUUGGUAGAAACAUCUGUUUAAGACUGCAGGAAAAGCAGAGUAGUAUGGUCUACCCAUCUCACUCUCCUCCUUCAUCAGGUGACAUGGUUGCUACUUGCUACUAGUGUAAAUAAUGUUGUUUCAAUGCAACAAGAUCACACAACAGUGUAAAAAACCUGCUAGCUUGGUGAUGUGACUCAUACCAAAUCAACAUUGCUCAUCUGAACCACCCUGAACUAUAGAAACAAACAGGCAGCAAGAGGAAACUCCAAUCUGUACACUGAGAAAAUGUCUUCAUCCAGAUUCCAUCCCAUUUUAGGCUGCAUAACAGAAUUCGAAAAAGUCCCAAAAUGGUAAAGAAAAACAUAUUUUCUAUGUUUCUGCCUAGUUUCCCUUUUCAGACAGGAUACAGUGUCUUACAGUACCUCUCCAGGCACUCCAUGUCUGACCUCUGAACAACUACAAAGUCUUGUUUACUGAACACAGUUAGCAGACACACCCAGGUUAAGGUGAGGGGUGUUCAGAGCAGGCGCCAUAUAAACAGUUGACCUAACAACAUAAAACAUAAAACAGAGGAAUCAAGACUGAGUGUAGAGUAGGAACAGACCAUAGAGUUCAAAGUGUUCCACUCCACCUCCAGUCAAGCCCAUCCAAACAACACCAACACAACAACACUUCAGGGAGGAAAGAGUUGGGAAGAGGAGAGAAACACAACAAUGAGCAGGCUCUCCCAGCUCUCCCAGCUGGAGGUUUUAAACAGUGAGAGGGGACUGUGCUAUUACUCUCUCCCAGCUGGAGGUUUUAAACAGUGAGAGGGGACUGUGCUAUUACUCUCUCCCAGCUGGAGGUUUUAAACAGUGAGAGGGGACUGUGCUAUUACUCUCUCCCAGCUGGAGGUUUUAAACAGUGAGAGGGGACUGUGCUAUUACUCUCUCCCAGCUGGAGGUUUUAAACAGUGAGAGGGGACUGUGCUAUUACUCUCUCCCAGCUGGAGGUUUUAAACAGUGAGAGGGGACUGUGCUAUUACUCUCUCCCAGCUGGAGGUUUUAAACAGUGAGAGGGGACUGUGCUAUUACUCUCUCCCAGCUGGAGGUUUUAAACAGUGUGUGGGGACUGUGCUAUUACUCUCUCCCAGCUGGAGGUUUUAAACAGUGUGUGGGGACUGUGCUAUUACUCUCUCCCAGCUGGAGGUUUUAAACAGUGAGAGGGGACUGUGCUAUUACUCUCUCCCAGCUGGAGGUUUUAAACAGUGAGAGGGGACUGUGCUAUUACUCUCUCCCAGCUGGAGGUUUUAAACAGUGAGUGGGGACUGU